UACGUAGGGGGCAAGCGUUAUCCGGAUUUACUGGGUGUAAAGGGAGCGUAGGCGGCGAUGCAAGUCAGAAGUGAAAGCCCGGGGCUCAGCUCCGGGACUGCUUUUGAAACUGUGUUGCUAGAUUGCAGGAGAGGUAAGUGGAAUUCCUAGUGUAGCGGUGAAAUGCGUAGAUAUUAGGAGGAACACCAGUGGCGAAGGCGGCUUACUGGACUGUAAAUGACGCUGAGGCUCGAAAGCGUGGGGAGCAAACAGG
Molecule: ribosomal RNA, 253 nt
Filed under: uncultured bacterium
Lineage: Bacteria
Description: partial 16S ribosomal RNA
Rfam family: Bacterial small subunit ribosomal RNA
Source: RNAcentral